CCUACGGGGAGCAGCAGUGGGGAAUAUUGGGCAAUGGGCGCAAGCCUGACCCAGCAACGCCGCGUGAAGGAAGAAGGCUUUCGGGUUGUAAACUUCUUUUAAGAGGGAAGAGCAGAAGACGGUACCUCUUGAAUAAGCCACGGCUAACUACGUGCCAGCAGCCGCGGUAAUACGUAGGUGGCAAGCGUUGUCCGGAUUUACGGGGUGUAAAGGGCGUGUAGCCGGGCUGACAAGUCAGAUGUGAAAUCCCGUGGCUCAACCACGGAGCUGCAUUUGAAACUGUCGGUCUUGAGUAUCGGUGAGGCAGGCGGAAUACCUAGUGUAGCGGUGAAAUGCGUAGAUAUUAGGAGGAACACCAGUGGCGAAGGCGGCCUGCUGGACGACAACGGACGGUGAGGCGCGAAAGCGUGGGGAGCAAACAGGAUUAGAUACCCUGGUAGUC
This 442-nucleotide ribosomal RNA is filed under the name uncultured bacterium. RNAcentral's name for it is "partial 16S ribosomal RNA". It matches the Rfam family "Bacterial small subunit ribosomal RNA", at positions 338 to 795 of the family's 1533-position model. The record is from RNAcentral.